This 1396-nucleotide ribosomal RNA is filed under the name metagenome. Its description in RNAcentral is "bacterial SSU rRNA". It matches the Rfam family "Archaeal small subunit ribosomal RNA". The record is from RNAcentral.
UCCAGUUUAUCCUGCUGGAGGCUGCGGCUAUCUGAUUUGCGCUUAGACAUGCAAGUCUCUCGAAAGAGGGCGAACUGCUCAGUAACACGUAGCUAACUUGCCCUAAGGUCAGGGAUAACCUCGGGAAACUGAGGCUAAUACCUGAUAGAAAAUAUUUCUUGGAAUAGAAUAUUUUUGAAACUUGUGCCUUAGGAUGGGGCUGCGGCUGAUUAGGUAGUUGGCGGGGUAAUGGCCCACCAAGCCGGAGAUCAGUAAGGGCUCUUAGCGGAGAAGCCUUGAGAGGGGAUCUGAGAUACUAUCCCCAGCCCUACGGGGUGCAGCAGUUAGGAAUUUUCUGCAAUGCGCGCAAGCGUGACAGAGCGAGUCAGAGUGUUUCUCUUUGAGAAACUUUUGUUUGCUUUAAAAAUGCAGACGAAUAAGGACUGGGCAAGACUGGUGCCAGCCGCCGCGGUAAUACCAGCGGUCCGAGUCGCAGCCAUUAUUAUUGGGUCUAAAACAUCCGUAGCUUGUUUUGUAAGUCUCUUGUGAAAUUCUAUAUCUUAAGUAUAGAGCGAGCGAGAGAUACUGCAAGGCUAGAGACCGGAAGACGUAAGGAGUACGGUCGAGGUAGUGGUAAAAUACGUUGAUCUCGAUUGGACUAACGAUAGCGAAGGCACCUUACGAAGACGGUUCUGACAGUGAGGGAUGAAAGCUAGGGGCGCAAAACGGAUUAGAUACCCGUGUAGUCCUAGCCGUAAACACUGCACACUAAACAUCAGUAUCUCUUCGAGAGAUAUUGGUGCUGCAGGGAAGCCGAAGAGUGUGCUACCUGGGAAGUAUAGUCGCAAGGCCGAAACUUAAAGGAAUUGGCGGGGGAGCACUACAACCGGUGACGCGUGCGGUUCAAUCAGAUUCUACACCGUGAACCUCACCAGGAGCGACAGCAGAAUGAAGGUCAGUCUGAAGGGCUUACCUGACACGCUGAGAGGAAGUGCAUGGCCGACGUCAGCCUGUGUCGUGAGAUGACCUGUUAAAUCAGGUAACAGGCGAGACCCGUGUGUAUAGUUGCUACGUGCACACUAUACAGACUGCCUUGGUAACAAGGAGGAGGGUGCGGGCCGCGUUAGGUAGUACGCUCCGAAUCCCCUGGGCUACACGCGCGCGUCAAUGCUACAUUCAAUGGGAUGCGACUCUGAAAGGAGAAGCCAAUCCAAUAAAGUGUAGCUUAGUUCAGAUUGAAGUUUGCAACUCAGCUUCAUGACGUUGGAAUCGGUAGUAAUCGUUUGUUAUCAACGAACGGUGAAUAUGUCCCUGUUCCUUGCACACACUGCCCGUCAAACCAACCAAGUUGUGCAUUGGUGAGGCUCGUUAGAGACGAACCUUUGUACGACAAGGUAGGUUAAGUCGUCACAAGGUA